Molecule: long non-coding RNA, 757 nt
Organism: Triticum dicoccoides
Lineage: Eukaryota; Viridiplantae; Streptophyta; Magnoliopsida; Poales; Poaceae
Exons: 3
Source: RefSeq, a predicted model, not a curated record
GCUGGUUUCUACACAUGUGUUUCCUCUAGUUUGGAGCAAAACGAACACAAACAGAUAGGGCUUCUGCGCUCCGGCGGCGGGACCUCGUCGUGUGCGGUGCUGCGACCUCGGGCAAUCAAUCUCGCCACGGUGCUCCGACCUUCAGCAGGCAGCCCGCGCCACCUCCCUCCGCGAUUCUCCACCUCGACACCAUCCUCUCCCACACACGGCGCCAGAUCCGGCAUCCACCAACGCCGGAGAAGAAACUCCUGCCUUCAGCAACCGGAAGGGCCAUAGCCUCUGCUUGUAAUGGGGAAGUGGCAUGUUUACCAGCUGCUGACACAAAGAUGUUUGUACUUCAUUUUCUUCAACUUCUCUGUAUUCCUCUAGGGAAUGGAUUCAAUGGCAAGUAUUCCUCCAGGGAAUGGAGUCGAUGGCAAGUAUUCCUCCAAGUCUCAGACCAACAACAGUGAUGAGACUUGAACUUAUUUGAUGUUUUGCGGCACAACACAGCCCAUGGGAGCCAACAUCAUUUACUUUGCGUUAAAUGCCGGAUUAGAAAGGCCUUCGUUCAUGUGCUAUAUGAACCUAGUUCCAUUGGUUUAGACUUCUGCUACAACUUGUACACCAAGUUAAUCUAUUAUACCUUGAGUUGUAAAUAAUAUUUGGAUUGCAACUCUAGUUAUGUGCUUCAUGGUAGAUUUAUGUGUAUUGUCAUGCAUACUAUUCACUAAGCAUUCAUGAUAUCACUGUCGUACUAUGAACUAUGAAAUGUUAA